UAUCCCAAAAGCGGAGGAAAAGAAACCAACCGGGAUUGCCUUAGUAACGGCGAGUGAAGCGGCAAAAGCUCAAAUUUGAAAUCUGGUACCUUCGGUGCCCGAGUUGUAAUUUGGAGAGGGCAACUUUGGGGCCGUUCCUUGUCUAUGUUCCUUGGAACAGGACGUCAUAGAGGGUGAGAAUCCCGUGUGGCGAGGAGUGCGGUUCUUUGUAAAGUGCCUUCGAAGAGUCGAGUUGUUUGGGAAUGCAGCUCUAAGUGGGUGGUAAAUUCCAUCUAAAGCUAAAUAUUGGCGAGAGACCGAUAGCGAACAAGUACAGUGAUGGAAAGAUGAAAAGAACUUUGAAAAGAGAGUGAAAAAGUACGUGAAAUUGUUGAAAGGGAAGGGCAUUUGAUCAGACAUGGUGUUUUGUGCCCUCUGCUCCUUGUGGGUAGGGGAAUCUCGCAUUUCACUGGGCCAGCAUCAGUUUUGGUGGCAGGAUAAAUCCAUAGGAAUGUAGCUUGCCUCGGUAAGUAUUAUAGCCUGUGGGAAUACUGCCAGCUGGGACUGAGGACUGCGACGUAAGUCAAGGAUGCUGGCAUAAUGGUUAUAUGCCGCCCGUCUUGAACCACGGAACCA
Molecule: ribosomal RNA, 615 nt
Filed under: Saccharomyces cerevisiae (brewer's yeast)
Lineage: Eukaryota; Fungi; Ascomycota; Saccharomycetes; Saccharomycetales; Saccharomycetaceae
Also listed under: 1 other name
Description: partial large subunit ribosomal RNA
Rfam family: Eukaryotic large subunit ribosomal RNA
Source: RNAcentral